AUGCCGCCGGAACGUAGAAGCCGAACGAAACCGGACCGGAGAAGCGGAGUGAGGCUGGACCGGAAGAGCCGAACGAAGCCGGACCGGAGAGCCGGAACAGGGCCGGGCGGGCCGCCCCGAAAGGCUGCUCCUUCAUCCCAGCGGAAACCGCCGGCCCGGCCGAGCGCAGCAGCCGCUGCGAUCGCAGUCGCGGCGGAGGAGGAGAGACGGCUCCGGCAGCGGAACCGCCUGACGCUGGAGGAGGACAAGCCGGCCGUGGAGCGGUGCCUGGAAGAGCUGGUGUUCGGCGAUGUCGAGGACAACGAGGACGCGUUGCUGCGGCGUCUGCAGGGCUCGCGGGUUCAAGUACAGGAAGACUCAGGUGACUUGGAAGUGGAGAAUGAAGCAAAAGAUAAUUUUCUAUUCCAAAAGAAGCCAGUUUGGGUGGAUGAAGAAGAUGAAGAUGAUGAAAUGGUUGACAUGAUGAGCAACCGGUUUCGGAAAGAUAUGAUGAAAAAUGCCAGUGAAAGUAAACUUUCAAAAGACAAGCUUCAAAAGAGACUUAAGGAAGAAUUCCAGCAUGCCAUGGGGGGAGUACCUGCCUGGGCAGAGACUAAUAAGCGGAAAACAUCUUCAGAUGAUGAAAGUGAAGAGGACGAAGAUGAUUUGUUGCAAAGGACUGGGAAUUUCAUAUCUACAUCAACCUCUCUUCCUAAAGGAAUCUUAAAGCUGAAGAAUUGUCUCCCUGCUAACGCAGAACGUCCUACUACCGCGCGGGUCUCGUCUGUGCAGUUCCAUCCUUGUGCGCAGGUCGUGAUGGUUGCGGCGCUGGAUAACGCGGUGUCGCUAUUUCAGGUUGAUGGAAAAACAAAUCCUAAAAUCCAGAGCAUCUAUUUGGAAAAGUUUCCAAUUUUUAAGGCCUGUUUUAGUGCUACUGGAGAAGAGGUUUUAGCCACGAGCAUCCACAGCAAGGUUCUUUAUGUCUACGAUAUGCUGGCUGGAAAGUUAAUUCCUGUGCAUCAAGUGAGAGGUUUGAAAGAGAAGAUAGUGAGGAGCUUUGAAGUGUCUCCAGAUGGGUCCUUCUUGCUGAUAAAUGGUGUUGCUGGAUAUCUUCAUUUGCUGUCAAUGAAGACUAAAGAACUGAUUGGUAGCAUGAAAAUUAAUGGAAGGGUUGCAGCAUCCACGUUCUCUUCAGAUAGUAAGAAAGUAUACGCCUCUUCAGGCGAUGGGGAAGUUUAUGUUUGGGAUGUGAACUCUAGAAAGUGCCUUAACAGAUUUGUUGAUGAAGGCAGUUUAUAUGGAUUAAGUAUUGCCACAUCUAGGAAUGGACAGUAUGUGGCUUGUGGUUCUAAUUGUGGAGUGGUAAACAUAUACAAUCAAGAUUCUUGUCUCCAGGAAACAAACCCAAAGCCUAUAAAAGCCAUAAUGAACUUGGUUACAGGUGUUACUUCUCUGACCUUCAAUCCUACUACAGAAAUCUUGGCAAUUGCUUCAGAAGAAAUGAAAGAAGCAGUCAGAUUGGUUCACCUUCCGUCCUGUACAGUAUUUUCAAACUUCCCAGUCAUUAAAAAGAAGACUAUUUCUCUUGUUCAUACCAUGGAUUUUUCUCCCAGAAGUGGGUAUUUUGCCUUGGGGAACGAAAAGGGCAAGGCCCUGCUAUAUAGGUUUUAAGGUUAAACCCAUUGCUGUCACUUGGCAGAGGGACCACAUUAGCUGAUCUUUGUUUCUUUGCCACUGGAUUGCUGUACCUUCAGAUCCAUUUGAGCCACAAGAGAAGCCCAUCUUGAUAUAUCUUCUCAGAAACUUUCUGAAUGUGUGAUAAUAUAUGUAUAAUGAUUUAUUGAGCCAGCUGUGCUUAUUUAACAGAAAUGUCUUAAUAAACAAAUAACAACUUUUGUUUGAAAAUAAA
This is an RNA transcript of Mirounga angustirostris (Northern elephant seal), 1888 nucleotides long. It is a transcript of the gene named UTP18 small subunit processome component, with no coding region annotated. The transcript is spliced from 14 exons. The record is from RefSeq and is a predicted model, not a curated record. Lineage: Eukaryota; Metazoa; Chordata; Mammalia; Carnivora; Phocidae.